GUAGUUUUGAUAUUCAGGGAUGGGGCAUUGGUGCAGAGUUCUCAGGACACUCACACGGGAGUCUUACGUCCGAGUUGGGCAUUUCAUCCACACAAGGGUGGCUUUCAGUCAAUUAUUCCUGAAGUAACUGGAGACCCUGCUUGGGACUGUGAUCUGCUUUCAUUUUGGGUGCUUCAGAUCUGAAACACGAGUCUUCAGUACGAAGUUACUGGUAGUUGAUUAUGCUGCCCUGCAUCCCGCAAAAGGAAAACAAGAUUUCCACUAUAGCCCUGGCAACGCCGUGGAUCUGGGGAAUCUGUGUGGAAUCUUGUGGAACCCAAAGGGCAUUGGCAACUGCCCCAACUUAGGGUAGGAGGGAGGGAGGAGUAAAGAUCAGG
Molecule: long non-coding RNA, 377 nt
Organism: Rattus norvegicus (Norway rat)
Lineage: Eukaryota; Metazoa; Chordata; Mammalia; Rodentia; Muridae
Source: Ensembl